This is a non-coding RNA of Trichonephila inaurata madagascariensis, 65 nucleotides long. NCBI's taxonomy places the organism in Eukaryota, Metazoa, Arthropoda, Arachnida, Araneae, Nephilidae. The record is from the annotation of a GenBank genome assembly.
CUAGUAUGGUGGUAAUGACACUUGACUUGUAAUCAAGUGGGCUCGGGUUCGAAUCCCAAAUAAGA